RNAcentral lists this ribosomal RNA (1400 nucleotides) under Staphylococcus pseudintermedius. RNAcentral's name for it is "partial 23S ribosomal RNA". It matches the Rfam family "Bacterial large subunit ribosomal RNA", at positions 1433 to 2832 of the family's 2925-position model. The record is from RNAcentral. Lineage: Bacteria; Bacillati; Bacillota; Bacilli; Caryophanales; Staphylococcaceae.
AUAUUCCUGUACCACCAUUAUUCGUUUUAAGCGAUGGGGGGACGCAGUAGGAUAGGCGAAGCGUGCUGUUGGAGUGCACGUCCAAGCAGUGAGAUUGAGUGUUAGGCAAAUCCGGCACUCUUAAGAUUGAGCUGUGAUGGGGAGAGGAACUUGUUCCUCGAGUCGUUGAUUUCACACUGCCGAGAAAAGCCUCUAGCUAGAAUAACGGUGCCCGUACCGCAAACCGACACAGGUAGUCAAGAUGAGAAUUCUAAGGUGAGCGAGCGAACUCUCGUUAAGGAACUCGGCAAAAUGACCCCGUAACUUCGGGAGAAGGGGUGCUCUUUGAGGUUCACGCUUCGAAGAGCCGCAGUGAAUAGGCCCAAGCGACUGUUUAUCAAAAACACAGGUCUCUGCUAAACCGUAAGGUGACGUAUAGGGGCUGACGCCUGCCCGGUGCUGGAAGGUUAAGAGGAGUGGUUAGCGCAAGCGAAGCUACGAAUCGAAGCCCCAGUAAACGGCGGCCGUAACUAUAACGGUCCUAAGGUAGCGAAAUUCCUUGUCGGGUAAGUUCCGACCCGCACGAAAGGCGUAACGAUUUGGGCACUGUCUCAACGAGAGACUCGGUGAAAUCAUAGUACCGGUGAAGAUGCCGGUUACCCGCGACAGGACGGAAAGACCCCGUGGAGCUUUACUGUAGCCUGAUAUUGAAAUUCGGUACAGUUUGUACAGGAUAGGUAGGAGCCUUAGAAGCGUGAGCGCUAGCUUACGUGGAGGCAUUGGUGGGAUACUACCCUAAUUGUAUUGGAUUUCUAACCCGCAGCACUUAUCGUGCUGGGAGACAGUGUCAGGCGGGCAGUUUGACUGGGGCGGUCGCCUCCUAAAGAGUAACGGAGGCGCUCAAAGGUUCCCUCAGAAUGGUUGGAAAUCAUUCAUAGAGUGUAAAGGCAUAAGGGAGCUUGACUGCGAGACCUACAAGUCGAGCAGGGUCGAAAGACGGACUUAGUGAUCCGGUGGUUCCGCAUGGAAGGGCCAUCGCUCAACGGAUAAAAGCUACCCCGGGGAUAACAGGCUUAUCUCCCCCAAGAGUUCACAUCGACGGGGAGGUUUGGCACCUCGAUGUCGGCUCAUCGCAUCCUGGGGCUGUAGUCGGUCCCAAGGGUUGGGCUGUUCGCCCAUUAAAGCGGUACGCGAGCUGGGUUCAGAACGUCGUGAGACAGUUCGGUCCCUAUCCGUCGUGGGCGUAGGAAAUUUGAGAGGAGCUGUCCUUAGUACGAGAGGACCGGGAUGGACAUACCUCUGGUGUACCAGUUGUCGUGCCAACGGCAUAGCUGGGUAGCUAUGUAUGGACGGGAUAAGUGCUGAAAGCAUCUAAGCAUGAAGCCCCCCUCGAGAUGAGAUUUCCCAACUUCGGUUAUAAG